This 760-nucleotide ribosomal RNA is filed under the name uncultured bacterium. RNAcentral describes it as "bacterial SSU rRNA". It matches the Rfam family "Bacterial small subunit ribosomal RNA", at positions 100 to 873 of the family's 1533-position model. The record is from RNAcentral.
GAACGGGUGAGUAACACGUGGGUGAUCUGCCCUGCACUUUGGGAUAAGCCUGGGAAACUGGGUCUAAUACCGAAUAGGACCACGCGCUUCAUGGUGUGUGGUGGAAAGCUUUUGCGGUGUGGGAUGGGCCCGCGGCCUAUCAGCUUGUUGGUGGGGUAAUGGCCUACCAAGGCGACGACGGGUAGCCGGCCUGAGAGGGUGACCGGCCACACUGGGACUGAGAUACGGCCCAGACUCCUACGGGAGGCAGCAGUGGGGAAUAUUGCACAAUGGGCGCAAGCCUGAUGCAGCGACGCCGCGUGAGGGAUGACGGCCUUCGGGUUGUAAACCUCUUUCAAUAGGGACGAAGCGCAAGUGACGGUACCUAUAGAAGAAGCACCGGCCAACUACGUGCCAGCAGCCGCGGUAAUACGUAGGGUGCGAGCGUUGUCCGGAAUUACUGGGCGUAAAGAGCUCGUAGGUGGUUUGUCGCGUUGUUCGUGAAAACUCACAGCUUAACUGUGGGCGUGCGGGCGAUACGGGCAGACUAGAGUACUGCAGGGGAGACUGGAAUUCCUGGUGUAGCGGUGGAAUGCGCAGAUAUCAGGAGGAACACCGGUGGCGAAGGCGGGUCUCUGGGCAGUAACUGACGCUGAGGAGCGAAAGCGUGGGGAGCGAACAGGAUUAGAUACCCUGGUAGUCCACGCCGUANACGGUGGGUACUAGGUGUGGGUUCCUUCCUUGGGAUCCGUGCCGUAGCUAACGCAUUAAGUACCCCGCC